This 780-nucleotide ribosomal RNA is filed under the name Analges unidentatus. RNAcentral describes it as "partial large subunit ribosomal RNA". It matches the Rfam family "Eukaryotic large subunit ribosomal RNA", at positions 77 to 650 of the family's 3401-position model. Lineage: Eukaryota; Metazoa; Arthropoda; Arachnida; Sarcoptiformes; Analgidae. The record is from RNAcentral.
CCCUUAGUAACGGCGAGCGAAAAGGGAAGAGUCCAGCGCCAAGUCUUGACGCCAAAGCGUUCAAGAGAUGCGGCGUUAAUGUAUUAUCGCAUCGUACAUUGUUGCCUGUUUCAAGUUCCCUUGACAGGGACAUCCAGAGCGGGUGCUAGGCCCAUAGAGGCAGGGAACCAGUGUACGCAGAUAAUGCAUUCUAGAGUCAGGUUGCUUGAGAGUGCAGCUUAAAGUGGGUGGUAAACUCCAUCUAAGGCUAAAUAUGACAGCGAGACCGAUAGCAAACAAGUACCGUGAGGGAAAGUUGCAAAGCACUUUGAAGAGAGAGUUCAACAGUACGUGAAACCACUGGGAGGCAAACAGAUGGAACCACGAAGUUGCGCCUCGCUCGAUUCAAUCAUUGGUACUGGUUACCGGUUCUUGUGUGGAUCUUUUCGGAGAUUAGCAAGUGUCGUGGAACUGGUUUCAAUGGUGCAUUUCGUGUGAGGAUGCUAAGCCACGUUCGAUUAGAGUUGGGACGGCCGUAGGACAGAAUUCAAGGAAGGUGACCGGAAAGUGCUUGCAUUUUUCGGUGUUAUAGCCUUGAAUUGGUACCGUCGCCUAACGAACUGAUCGAUAGAAAUUCUCCUUUUAGGAGUCAAACUAUGUCUGCCUAUAGCCGUUAGUCAACAUUUCGAAAUGUUCUUUACGUAUCUUUGGUGCGGAAAGGCGCUUCAACAAUGUUGGUUAAUGGCUGUUUGCGUGACAUGGUGGAACUGUGGCACGAGUAGGUCGGUUUCCCUCUGACCC